UUAGUGGCGGACGGGUGAGUAACGCGUGGAAAACCUGCCGUAUACUGGGGGAUAACACUUAGAAAUAGGUGCUAAUACCGCAUAAGCGCACAGCUUCGCAUGAAGCGGUGUGAAAAACUCUGGUGGUAUACGAUGGUUCCGCGUCUGAUUAGCUAGUUGGUGGGGUAAUGGCCUACCAAGGCAACGAUCAGUAGCCGGCCUGAGAGGGUGAACGGCCACAUUGGGACUGAGACACGGCCCGAACUCCUACGGAAGGCAGCAG
RNAcentral lists this ribosomal RNA (262 nucleotides) under uncultured bacterium. Its description in RNAcentral is "partial 16S ribosomal RNA". It matches the Rfam family "Bacterial small subunit ribosomal RNA", at positions 92 to 354 of the family's 1533-position model. The record is from RNAcentral.